RNAcentral lists this ribosomal RNA (117 nucleotides) under uncultured Verrucomicrobiota bacterium. The record is from RNAcentral. Lineage: Bacteria; Pseudomonadati; Verrucomicrobiota.
AACUCUGGCGAUGUCCUACUUUCGCACAACCUAUAGAAGUACUAUCAUCGGGGCUGCGGCGUUUCACUUCCGUGUUCGGAAUGGGAACGGGUGGGACCACCGCGCUGGGAUCACCAG